RNAcentral lists this unclassified non-coding RNA (2626 nucleotides) under Neodiprion pinetum (white pine sawfly). RNAcentral's name for it is "tubulin polyglutamylase TTLL5, transcript variant X3". The record is from RNAcentral. Lineage: Eukaryota; Metazoa; Arthropoda; Insecta; Hymenoptera; Diprionidae.
GUGGCGGUCGUUUAUGAGCUGGUCGUGUUGGGAAUUGGUAUGGCCGAGGAUUCGCAGUUUUUUCCCUCACCAUCGAGCGAGUAGUGAUUGGUGGUAAUUUCUAAUCGAAACUGUGAGAAAAUAUGUACUUGGCGAUAAUUUCCUGAGUGGCAAAAGAGGGUAGAAAACAUCCACGAAAGACGAACUGUGCGGUCUCAAAUGAACCACAACUUGCGGCUCUCAGCGGGUAAACUAGAUGGCAAACGUACCAAAGACUCGAUGUCGUCAUCUAGCUUGUCAGGCACGUCUCAGCUUUCAAGUAGCAGCGAUGAAGUCCUGGAACCGCUUGUACACAAGUCUCAUAAUAUCAUUAAAAAGUCUGAAAGCACAACAAAAGACAAAGACAACAACGAAUGGUUGCUAACUGGAUCUGGAGGAGGCAAGCCGCCGGUACUGCGAUUCAAGUGCUCCGCGUUAGCCACACCACCAGAGGAUCCACCAGGAAAACAACUACAUAUGACCUACAAGAUCUUUCAAACUGAUACGAAACUCAUCAGUUUACUACUUCAGUCACAUGGCCUUGCUGAGGUUUCUAUGACUGACCAAAAUUUCAACAUUUUAUGGAUGGGCAAUCAUCCAAAGCCAGAUGUUCUUCGUAAUCUGACACCGCACCAAAAAGUAAAUCACUUUCCAAGAUCUUACGAAAUCACGCGAAAGGACCGACUUUAUAAAAAUAUCGAGGCAAUGCAGAGGAGCAAAGGUGCGAGGAACUUAGAUUUCAUCCCACAAACCUUUCUCUUGCCCUGCGAAUCGAGGGAGUUAUUAACCGCGCAUUUCAGGUAUCGCGGCCCUUGGAUUGUGAAGCCUAAAGCGAGUUCUCGUGGCCGCGGUAUUUACAUUGUUAACAGUCCAGAAAAAAUUAUCAUCGACGAAUCAGUUAUCGUUGCUCAGUACAUAAACAACCCGCUUUUAGUCGAUGGGCAUAAAUGUGAUUUGCGGCUGUAUGUCGCUGUGACGAGUUACGAUCCACUUUUGAUAUACCUUUAUGAAGAAGGACUAGUCAGGUUUGCCACCGUCAAGUAUGAUGGCGGACAUCAAUAUGUGUGGAAUCCAUGUAUGCAUCUUUGCAACUAUAGCAUCAACAAAUUCCACGUAGAUUACAUAAAGAGUGAAGAUCCAGAUGCCGAAGAUGUUGGUCACAAAUGGACACUCUCAGCAUUGUUACGACAUCUUCGAUCCAUGGGACAAGACACAGAACUAUUGAUGCAAAGAAUAGAGGAUGUCAUUGUCAAAUCUAUUUUAGCCACUGCAUCUGGAAUUGUCAGCGGAGUGAAGCAAUUCGUCAAACAUCCAGAUACUUGUUUCGAAUUAUUUGGGUUUGAUAUCUUAAUUGACGACACCUUGAAACCUUGGCUACUUGAGGUCAACCUCACUCCGUCUCUAGGUUGUGAUUCCCCAUUGGACGUGAGAUUGAAAUCUGCAUUAAUGGCAGAUUUACUCACGCUUGUAGGCAUUGCUGCUGUUGAUCCAAUAUUGAGACCACAUAGUAACAACCAUCGAUCUAUUACGAAUCCUUCAAAAAAUAUGACUAGUUACAGGAGAGUCCAUUCGGCUGAAAUGCUCAUGCAGAAGAAGAAAAAUGUAGCCAAAAAUAGUUUAAACAAAUCUGGUCUCACAGCUGAACAGCAAAGAAUAGUUGCAUCUGCUCGAGCACAGUUUGAACGAAGAGGUGGAUUUGUUCGUAUCUUCCCUAGUCCAAAAUCGUGGGAAAUCUAUUCUCAAUAUCUCGAUUCUGUCACAGGAAUACCAGUAGUAACAGACCCCUUGGGGCCAGGAAGGUUGCAACAGCAGGUUAAUACUAACUAUAAUUUAAUGCUACACGAACAAUUGUUCCCAGCUGCAUGCCGAACUACCGGAUUUAUUAUUCCAGAAGUGACAUUGGAUAGACUUUCAAGGUAUGAAAGAUAUGAAAGAGCUUUGGUGAAAGGUCAUAAACAGAGCUUGGAUCGCGGUGACAGCAAAGAAAACUUAGACGUGGAUACACACAAGUACAAAGCACAAGUGAUGAAGCUUAUGGAAGAUGGAAAUAAACUCAGCUCAGGUGAAGCAAGAAAGGCUUUUGGAUUGUAUUUGGGAUGUAUUCUACGAAAAAUUUCUCAACCAAGUGCGGAUUCAGCCUGUUCUGAACUUGUCAUGAAAUUUCUUCAGCAAUCAGCCAGCAAUUUACGCACACCCUUCUUAUUUACUUUGCCAAGCAGUAAGCUUGGUGACAAAGAUCGUGCAGCUAUAACUGCAAAACAGUUGUCGGACUUCUUACAUCUAUACAACAGAGAAACAGAUUUAUAUGCAGAUACAGUGGAUCGCCCGCGAACAGUGCCUAAUAGAUUAUUUCAAAAGUUCCUUGCAACCGCUAGAUGCGAAGUUCGGCGAGAUUGAGAGCCGUCGGUCGUGUACGUCGGUGUCCGUAGAAUUCUGGGGCAGAGCCUCACCUCGAGAUCGGAAGGGUUGAUGAAUCCGAACGAUGUUGAACGUCAGGGAAGAAGAUCUGGAUGAUGUACUAAUACUGCAAACACGACUGUAUAACUGCGCACACAGCUUUCUAGGCAGGAGUGGGUUUGCGGGAACUCUUCGUGGACCUAAUCUAUUA